Non-coding RNA from Cydia fagiglandana, 73 nucleotides. The record is from the annotation of a RefSeq genome assembly. Lineage: Eukaryota; Metazoa; Arthropoda; Insecta; Lepidoptera; Tortricidae.
GUCUUGGUAGCUCAGAUGGAAGGGCAUCGGGCUAGAGAUCCGGUGGUCGCGGGUUCAAGUCCCGUCCAAGAUA